This 523-nucleotide ribosomal RNA is filed under the name Gambierdiscus australes. Its description in RNAcentral is "partial Eukaryotic large subunit ribosomal RNA". It matches the Rfam family "Eukaryotic large subunit ribosomal RNA", at positions 2966 to 3391 of the family's 3401-position model. Lineage: Eukaryota; Dinophyceae; Gonyaulacales; Pyrocystaceae. The record is from RNAcentral.
GACCGUCGUGAGACAGGUUAGUUUUACCCUACUGAUGAAUUUAAUCUUCCAUUGUUAUCGUGAUAGUAAUCCAACGUAGUACGAGAGGAACUGUUGGUUCAGAUAAUUGGUAAAUGCGGUUGUUUGAUCAGACAGUGCCGCGAAGCUACCAUCUGUCGGAUAAUGGCUGAACGCCUCUAAGCCAGAAUCCAUGCUAAUUAAACGAUGACUCAACUUCCACUUAGAUUUCCUCUUUUUACAUGAGUAUCAAUAGGUUCCGAGGGCUGCAUAGCAUCUUCGGGAGUUUUGAACUAGCUUUCGGGUUGGUGAUCACUCCUUGGAGACCUCUUGGAAUCCAACAUCCUUAUCAUUGAGUUGCCGGGUGGCUGAUCGACUCUGGUUGGUCAUCCUAUGAACUCUGAAACAUAAUUACAAAUGAGAGGAAAACUGCAAAUCCUUUGUAGACGACUUAAAUACGAACGGGGUAUUGUAAGAGGUUGAGUAGCCUUGUUGUUACGAUCCUCUGAGAUUAAGCCCUUAUUUG